This 631-nucleotide small RNA is filed under the name Pan troglodytes (chimpanzee). RNAcentral describes it as "retained intron". The record is from RNAcentral. Lineage: Eukaryota; Metazoa; Chordata; Mammalia; Primates; Hominidae.
CCGAGCUGCCCCUCACCGUGUCCUAUGACAAGGUCUCACUGGGGCGGCUGCGCUUCUGGAUCCACAUGCAGGACGCCGUGUACUCCCUGCAGCAGUUCGGGUUUUCAGAGAAAGAUGCUGAUGAGGUGAAAGGAAUUUUUGUAGAUACCAACUUAUACUUCCUGGCGCUGACCUUCUUUGUCGCAGCGUUCCAUCUUCUCUUUGAUUUCCUGGCCUUUAAAAAUGACAUCAGUUUCUGGAAGAAGAAGAAGAGCAUGAUCGGCAUGUCCACCAAGGCAGGUGGGGUCUGCCCUGCACCCCCUCCCAGCCCGACCAUCCUGUCCUCAGUGCUCUGGCGCUGCUUCAGCACCGUGGUCAUCUUCCUGUUCCUGCUGGACGAGCAGACGAGCCUGCUGGUGCUGGUCCCGGCGGGCGUUGGAGCCGCCAUUGAGCUGUGGAAAGUGAAGAAGGCAUUGAAGAUGACUAUUCUUUGGAGAGGCCUGAUGCCCGAAUUUCAGUUUGGCACUUACAGCGAAUCUGAGAGGAAAACCGAGGAGUACGAUACUCAGGCCAUGAAGUACUUGUCAUACCUGCUGUACCCUCUCUGUGUCGGGGGUGCUGUCUAUUCACUCCUGAAUAUCAAAUAUAAGAG